This 754-nucleotide ribosomal RNA is filed under the name Bacillus cereus. RNAcentral's name for it is "partial 16S ribosomal RNA". The record is from RNAcentral. Lineage: Bacteria; Bacillati; Bacillota; Bacilli; Caryophanales; Bacillaceae.
GUNGCCGCCUAGUGUAGUUACAGACCNGAAAGUCGCCUUCGCCACUGGUGUUCCUCCAUAUCUCUACGCAUUUCACCGCUACACAUGGAAUUCCACUUUCCUCUUCUGCACUCAAGUCUCCCAGUUUCCAAUGACCCUCCACGGUUGAGCCGUGGGCUUUCACAUCAGACUUAAGAAACCACCUGCGCGCGCUUUACGCCCAAUAAUUCCGGAUAACGCUUGCCACCUACGUAUUACCGCGGCUGCUGGCACGUAGUUAGCCGUGGCUUUCUGGUUAGGUACCGUCAAGGUGCCAGCUUAUUCAACUAGCACUUGUUCUUCCCUAACAACAGAGUUUUACGACCCGAAAGCCUUCAUCACUCACGCGGCGUUGCUCCGUCAGACUUUCGUCCAUUGCGGAAGAUUCCCUACUGCUGCCUCCCGUAGGAGUCUGGGCCGUGUCUCAGUCCCAGUGUGGCCGAUCACCCUCUCAGGUCGGCUACGCAUCGUUGCCUUGGUGAGCCGUUACCUCACCAACUAGCUAAUGCGACGCGGGUCCAUCCAUAAGUGACAGCCGAAGCCGCCUUUCAAUUUCGAACCAUGCAGUUCAAAAUGUUAUCCGGUAUUAGCCCCGGUUUCCCGGAGUUAUCCCAGUCUUAUGGGCAGGUUACCCACGUGUUACUCACCCGUCCGCCGCUAACUUCAUAAGAGCAAGCUCUUAAUCCAUUCGCUCGACUUGCAUGUAUUAAGCACGCCGCCAGCGUCAUUCUGAGCC